AGAGUUUGAUCAUGGCUCAGAGCGAACGCUGGCGGCAGGCCUAAUACAUGCAAGUCGAACGGAUCCUUCGGGAUUAGUGGCGGACGGGUGAGUAACACGUGGGAACGUGCCCUUUGGUUCGGAACAACUCAGGGAAACUUGAGCUAAUACCGGAUAAGCCCUUCGGGGGAAAGAUUUAUCGCCAUUGGAGCGGCCCGCGUCUGAUUAGCUAGUUGGUGGGGUAAUUGCCUACCAAGGCUACGAUCAGUAGCUGGUCUGAGAGGAUGAUCAGCCACACUGGGACUGAGACACGGCCCAGACUCCUACGGGAGGCAGCAGUAGGGAAUCUUGCGCAAUGGGCGAAAGCCUGACGCAGCCAUGCCGCGUGAAUGACGAAGGUCUUAGGAUUGUAAAAUUCUUUCAGCGGGGACGAUAAUGACGGUACCCGCAGAAGAAGCCCCGGCUAACUUCGUGCCAGCAGCCGCGGUAAUACGAAGGGGGCUAGCGUUGCUCGGAAUUACUGGGCGUAAAGGGCGCGUAGGCGGAUGUUUAAGUCAGAGGUGAAAGCCCAGGGCUCAACCUUGGAACUGCCUUUGAUACUGGACAUCUUGAGUACGGGAGAGGUGAGUGGAACUCCGAGUGUAGAGGUGAAAUUCGUAGAUAUUCGGAAGAACACCAGUGGCGAAGGCGACUCACUGGCCCGUUACUGACGCUGAGGCGCGAAAGCGUGGGGAGCAAACAGGAUUAGAUACCCCGGUAGUCC
Molecule: ribosomal RNA, 742 nt
Filed under: uncultured bacterium
Lineage: Bacteria
Description: bacterial SSU rRNA
Rfam family: Bacterial small subunit ribosomal RNA
Source: RNAcentral